CACGAACGGUGUUAAUACCGCAUAAUGCAGCGGCAUCACAUGAUGACAGUUGUUAAAGCGGGGAAUUGGAGCAAUCCGACCUCGCGCCUGAAGAGAAGCCUGCGGCAGAUUAGGUAGUUGGUGAGGUAAUGGCUCACCAAGCCCGCGAUCUGUAACCGGCCUGAGAGGGCGGUCGGUCACACUGACACUGACAUACGGGUCAG
RNAcentral lists this ribosomal RNA (203 nucleotides) under uncultured bacterium. RNAcentral describes it as "partial 16S ribosomal RNA". It matches the Rfam family "Bacterial small subunit ribosomal RNA", at positions 150 to 334 of the family's 1533-position model. The record is from RNAcentral.